Molecule: long non-coding RNA, 223 nt
Organism: Colossoma macropomum (tambaqui)
Lineage: Eukaryota; Metazoa; Chordata; Actinopteri; Characiformes; Serrasalmidae
Exons: 3
Source: RefSeq, a predicted model, not a curated record
UUUGAGUGACACUAUGAAAGAGAGAGGAUGUGAGGGUUUUCUCUGCUGAGCUUUCAGAGCAACAUUUCAUUGCUGAAUAAUAAAGUGUGGUAGCCAUUCUUGUCUCUACAGUCGGUCCAUCAUUUCAGAAACAACAAAUAAUUCAGUGUUUAACACAAUGGCUCAUAUGUUAUUCUCACGUCAUUCAAAUUCAUGGGAUGAUUUUCAACAAGACAGUCUGUCU